Molecule: ribosomal RNA, 514 nt
Filed under: uncultured bacterium
Lineage: Bacteria
Description: bacterial SSU rRNA
Rfam family: Bacterial small subunit ribosomal RNA
Source: RNAcentral
CUACGUGCCAGCAGCCGCGGUAAUACGGAAGGUCCGGGCGUUAUCCGGAAUUAUUGGGUUUAAAGGGAGCGCAGGCGGGAGUAUAAGUCAGCUGUUAAAUAUCAGGGCCCAACUCUGUUAUGCAGUUGAAACUAUAUUUCUUGAGUACGCACAGGGAUGGCGGAAUUCAGGGUGUAGCGGUGAAAUGCUUAGAUAUCCUGAAGAACUCCGAUCGCGAAGGCAGCCAUCCGGAGCGUAACUGACGCUGAGGCUCGAAGGUGCGGGUAUCGAACAGGAUUAGAUACCCUGGUAGUCCGCACGGUAAACGAUGAAUACUCGCAGUUCGGCCUUUUAGGUCGAGUUGUCCAGCGAAAGCGUUAAGUAUUCCACCUGGGGAGUACGCCGGCAACGGUGAAACUCAAAGGAAUUGACGGGGGCCCGCACAAGCGGAGGAACAUGUGGUUUAAUUCGAAGCAACGCGAAGAACCUUACCAGGUCUUGACAUCCCUCUGACCGCUCUAGAGAUAGAGUUUUC